This 253-nucleotide ribosomal RNA is filed under the name uncultured bacterium. Its description in RNAcentral is "partial 16S ribosomal RNA". It matches the Rfam family "Bacterial small subunit ribosomal RNA", at positions 524 to 776 of the family's 1533-position model. The record is from RNAcentral.
UACGUAGGGUGCAAGCGUUGUCCGGAAUUAUUGGGCGUAAAGAGCUCGUAGGCGGUUUGUCGCGUCUGCUGUGAAAACUCGGGGCUUAACCCCGGGCCUGCAGUUGAUACGGGCAGGCUAGAGUUCGGUAGGGGAGACUGGAAUUCCUGGUGUAGCGGUGAAAUGCGCAGAUAUCAGGAGGAACACCGGUGGCGAAGGCGGGUCUCUGGGCCGAUACUGACGCUGAGGAGCGAAAGCGUGGGGAGCGAACAGG